This 31-nucleotide non-coding RNA is filed under the name Rattus norvegicus (Norway rat). The record is from RNAcentral. Lineage: Eukaryota; Metazoa; Chordata; Mammalia; Rodentia; Muridae.
UCGACACGUUUACGUUGUGGUUCCUUUGCAC